Molecule: long non-coding RNA, 1138 nt
Filed under: Helicoverpa zea (corn earworm)
Lineage: Eukaryota; Metazoa; Arthropoda; Insecta; Lepidoptera; Noctuidae
Description: uncharacterized LOC124635505, transcript variant X3
Source: RNAcentral
AUUUGAUGUGACUGAGUAUGUCAGGAUGAUCGAGCAGUUUGCUGUCUUGUUUUCAGAAGACGCUCGAGGACGAGCGUAUGUCAGCAUGGCCGUGACGGCGCCACCGUCGAUGUGUCAACCGUCGAUCUGUCAACGGUGGACCUUAUAUAAAGCGGCGCACGACUCGGGUCAUUCGUUCGCCGACCGUUGCCGAGUGCACACCUCCCACAAAUUUGUGAUAAAUAAUUGUAGUGACUAAUAUUGUGUUAAUUGGAAUAAACCAAGUGAUUGUAAGACGCUCGAGGACGAGCGUAUGUCAGCAUGGCCGUGACGGCGCCACCGUCGAUGUGUCAACCGUCGAUCUGUCAACGGUGGACCUUAUAUAAAGCGGCGCACGACUCGGGUCAUUCGUUCGCCGACCGUUGCCGAGUGCACACCUCCCACAAAUUUGUGAUAAAUAAUUGUAGUGACUAAUAUUGUGUUAAUUGGAAUAAACCAAGUGAUUGUAAGACGCUCGAGGACGAGCGUAUGUCAGCAUGGCCGUGACGGCGCCACCGUCGAUGUGUCAACCGUCGAUCUGUCAACGGUGGACCUUAUAUAAAGCGGCGCACGACUCGGGUCAUUCGUUCGCCGACCGUUGCCGAGUGCACACCUCCCACAAAUUUGUGAUAAAUAAUUGUAGUGACUAAUAUUGUGUUAAUUGGAAUAAACCAAGUGAUUGUAAGACGCUCGAGGACGAGCGUAUGUCAGCAUGGCCGUGACGGCGCCACCGUCGAUGUGUCAACCGUCGAUCUGUCAACGGUGGACCUUAUAUAAAGCGGCGCACGACUCGGGUCAUUCGUUCGCCGACCGUUGCCGAGUGCACACCUCCCACAAAUUUGUGAUAAAUAAUUGUAGUGACUAAUAUUGUGUUAAUUGGAAUAAACCAAGUGAUUGUAAGACGCUCGAGGACGAGCGUAUGUCAGCAUGGCCGUGACGGCGCCACCGUCGAUGUGUCAACCGUCGAUCUGUCAACGGUGGACCUUAUAUAAAGCGGCGCACGACUCGGGUCAUUCGUUCGCCGACCGUUGCCGAGUGCACACCUCCCACAAAUUUGUGAUAAAUAAUUGUAGUGACUAAUAUUGUGUUAAUUGGAAUAAACCAAGUGAUUGUGUGAGAA